AUGCUGCACUUUGGUCCUCUUCUCCUUCCACCAACGACAACCGUUACAGAACUACCCACCACCAAAGGACCUAAGCAGCGUGGUAAGGAGGAGCAGCGCUAUAAGGAGGAAUGGACAUGGGAGGACAUUCUGGACGGCAAGGGUUGCUACUCCUGGGGGGAGAUCCUGGCUGGAAGGGACCAUGGGAACAGGUGGAGGCAGCCAGGAGAGCGGAGGCCGCAGGUAAAGGGAGCCAGCGCUUUGAGGGAACACGGCUGGCAAGGAAGCCCGAGAGGCAGCCCCAAACAUUUCUUGGGGGGGCACACGGAGAGAUUGGCUAAGUCAGGUAGGAGACCUGAUCCAACUCCCCAUGCUUACCGUGGAGAGAGAGUGACCGGGCAGGCAACAUGUUAUGCAGUGAGGCGCACAGUGUCCCCAGUGCGCACGUAUAGCCCGGUGCGCAACAUCACAGCUCCUCGUAUCGGCCGGGCUAGAGUGAGCAUCGAGCCAGGAGUAAUGAAGCCGGCUCAGCGCAUCAGGUCUCCAGUGCGUCUCCUCGGCCCGGGUUAUAUGGCACCAGCCCUACACACGCUGUCGCCGGUUCGCCAGCACAGCCCAGUGCGGUCUGAUCCACCCCGCCGCACUUGCCGGGCUACAGGGAGUAUCCAGCCAGGACGGGUUGUGCAGGCUCGGUACUCGAGAACUCCAGUGCUCCUCCACGGCCCUGUGUAUCCGGUGCCUCCUCCACGCACCAGGCUUCCUGUGGCAGCCCCACGCACCAGGCUGUCUCUCCGUCUCCUCCUUCCAGGUUCUCGCUCCUGUCCGGUGCCUCCAGAGUCUCCCUCCUGUCCGGCGCCUCCAGAGUCUCCCUCCUGUCCGUUGCUCCAGAGUCUCCCUCGUGUCCGUUGCUCCAGAGUCUCCCUCCUGUGCGGCGCCGCCAGAGCCGGCCGUCAGUCAGGAGCCGCCAGAGCCGCCCGUCAGUCAGGAGCCGCCAGAGCCACCCGUCAGUCAGGAGCCGCCAGAGCCGCCCGUCAGUCAGGAGCCGCCAGAGCCGCCCGUCAGUCAGGAGCCGCCAGAGCCACCCAUCAGUCAGGAGCCGCCAGAGCUGCCCGUCAGUCAGGACCCGCCAGAGCCGCCCGUCAGUCAGGAGCCGCCAGAGCCGCCCAUCAGUCAGGUGCCGCCGGAGCCGCCCUUUACUCCGUCGCCGCCGGAGUCACCCUUCAAGCCGACGCUGCCAGAGUCUCCCGCCUGUCCGGCGCUGCCGGAAUCUCCCGUCUAUUCGGGGCCCACUGCAAGGGUCCCCAGUCCGAGGUCGGUGGCGAGGGUCGCCGCUCCAAAGGCACCACUUAA
Molecule: long non-coding RNA, 1329 nt
Filed under: Oncorhynchus mykiss (rainbow trout)
Lineage: Eukaryota; Metazoa; Chordata; Actinopteri; Salmoniformes; Salmonidae
Description: lncRNA (ENSOMYG00000058352.1)
Source: RNAcentral